RNAcentral lists this transfer RNA (68 nucleotides) under Malacochersus tornieri. RNAcentral's name for it is "tRNA-Pro". The record is from RNAcentral. Lineage: Eukaryota; Metazoa; Chordata; Testudines; Testudinidae.
UCAAAAGAGAAAGACAAACUUUCUUCCCCUGCCCCCAAAGCAGGGAUUUUCCAUUAAACUAUCUUCUG